Molecule: transfer RNA, 84 nt
Filed under: Candidatus Woesearchaeota archaeon
Lineage: Archaea; Nanobdellati; Candidatus Woesearchaeota
Description: tRNA-Ser
Rfam family: tRNA
About the family: Transfer RNA (tRNA) molecules are approximately 80 nucleotides in length. Their secondary structure includes four short double-helical elements and three loops (D, anti-codon, and T loops). Further hydrogen bonds mediate the characteristic L-shaped molecular structure. tRNAs have two regions of fundamental functional importance: the anti-codon, which is responsible for specific mRNA codon recognition, and the 3' end, to which the tRNAs corresponding amino acid is attached (by aminoacyl-tRNA synthetases). tRNAs cope with the degeneracy of the genetic code in two manners: having more than one tRNA (with a specific anti-codon) for a particular amino acid; and 'wobble' base-pairing, i.e. permitting non-standard base-pairing at the 3rd anti-codon position.
Source: RNAcentral
GCCGCGGUCGCUUAGCCCGGUAUAGCGCUGGAUUGCUAAUCCAGUGUCCGCAAGGACUCGGGAGUUCAAAUCUCCCCCGCGGCG